Acanthosepion pharaonis is the source of this 114-nucleotide non-coding RNA. Lineage: Eukaryota; Metazoa; Mollusca; Cephalopoda; Sepiida; Sepiidae. The record is from the annotation of a GenBank genome assembly.
UUACGAGCAUAUCACGUUGAAACACCGGCUCCCGUACGAUCACCACAUUUAAGCAACGUCGAUCCCAGUCAGUACCUAGAUGGGUGAACGCUUGAGAAUUACCGGGUGCUGUAA